UGAUCCGGGUUGCGGACAGUGUCUGGUGGGUAGUUUGACUGGGGCGGUCUCCUCCUAAAGAGUAACGGAGGAGCACGAAGGUUGGCUAAUCCUGGUCGGACAUCAGGAGGUUAGUGCAAUGGCAUAAGCCAGCUUGACUGCGAGCGUGACGGCGCGAGCAGGUGCGAAAGCAGGUCAUAGUGAUCCGGUGGUUCUGAAUGGAAGGGCCAUCGCUCAACGGAUAAAAGGUACUCCGGGGAUAACAGGCUGAUACCGCCCAAGAGUUCAUAUCGACGGCGGUGUUUGGCACCUCGAUGUCGGCUCAUCACAUCCUGGGGCUGAAGUAGGUCCCAAGGGUAUGGCUGUUCGCCAUUUAAAGUGGUACGCGAGCUGGGUUUAGAACGUCGUGAGACAGUUCGGUCCCUAUCUGCCGUGGGCGCUGGAGAACUGAGGGGGGCUGCUCCUAGUACGAGAGGACCGGAGUGGACGCAUCACUGGUGUUCGGGUUGUCAUGCCAAUGGCACUGCCCGGUAGCUAAAUGCGGAAGAGAUAAGUGCUGAAAGCAUCUAAGCACGAAACUUGCCCCGAGAUGAGUUCUCCCUGACUCCUUGAGAGUCCUGAAGGAACGUUGAAGACGACGACGUUGAUAGGCCGGGUGUGUAAGCGCAGCGAUGCGUUGAGCUAACCGGUACUAAUGAACCGUGAGGCUUAACCUUACAACGCCGAAG
RNAcentral lists this ribosomal RNA (707 nucleotides) under Escherichia coli. RNAcentral's name for it is "partial 23S ribosomal RNA". It matches the Rfam family "Bacterial large subunit ribosomal RNA", at positions 2236 to 2925 of the family's 2925-position model. Lineage: Bacteria; Pseudomonadati; Pseudomonadota; Gammaproteobacteria; Enterobacterales; Enterobacteriaceae. The record is from RNAcentral.